Molecule: RNA transcript, 2214 nt
Organism: Diospyros lotus (date-plum)
Lineage: Eukaryota; Viridiplantae; Streptophyta; Magnoliopsida; Ericales; Ebenaceae
Gene name: ubiquitin-like protein ATG12
Exons: 8
Source: RefSeq, a predicted model, not a curated record
UAGAAAUUCCCAGAACCGAAACCCUCGGACGGUCUCUGCUGUGUUCUCAAUCGGCUGAGAUAUGGCUUCCGAGUCCUCAACUACUGCUCGUAGAGUUGUUGUGCAUCUAAGAGCGACUGGCGACGCACCGAUUCUCAAGCAAGCGAAGUUCAAGAUUGCAGGAACUGAUAAGUUUGCUAAGGUGAUUGACUUUCUUUGUCGCCAGCUUCACAGGGAGACUUUGUUUGUUUACCUCAACAGUGCAUUCUCACCCAAUCCUGAUGAGUUGGUCAUUGAUCUGUACAAUAAUUUUGGUUUUGAUGGGAAGUUGGUGGUCAAUUAUGCUUGUUCCAUGGCAUGGGGCUAACUCUCACCGAUGGAUCUCAGCUGCUUCUGCCACGUUCCUUAUAGUGAUUCGAUAUGCAGCUUCAACCAUAAACCUGUACCUGCCAACAUAUAAGGCUGGACGGCAGGGCAAGAAGAAUUGCAGAAAAAAGAAGGUCUGGAACAACUUAUCCUGAUGGGCCUACGCGAACUUCUCAGGAGGGUCACCCAUCCUUGGAUUACCCAGGUCAAGCACGCUUAACUUGGGAAUUAUUUGCCUACAUUCAGCUUAAAAGGAGUCCCGUCGCAUUUGGAAGCUUCUCAGUCACCCUUUGGGCAGUCGACCUCUAGGUGAUCGAGGUGGGACGAACCCGGUGCUAAUGCACCACUGCCAGAGUCUUCCCCCUAAGUGCAGUGGUGCUCGUGGGCGUGGACCGUCUCAGGGGUGACAGAGGAUAGUUCGGCCUAAGGGGUUCCCACAAACGGCGUCAAAUGUUGACACAUUUUUGUAACACCCCGCAUUGAGCGAUAGAAAGGUCCGGGACAACUUACCUUGAUGGGCCUAUGUGAACUUCCCAGGGGGGUCACCCAUCAUUGGAUUACCUCAGGUCAAGCACGCUUAACUUGAGAGUUCUUUACCUACAUUCAGCCUCAAAGGUAUCCAGUUGGUAUUGUUUUCUUCCUUACUUAUUUUUGAUAUAUAUUACCCUAAUUUUGGGUUCUUAGGGUAUUACACACAUCGUGUUAUACACAUCAUGGGCCCACAAUCACGGAUUAGCUCACAGCUAUCGCCCUUCGACGAUCAGGAGUCCUGUCGCACUUGUGAGCCUCUCAGUCACAUUGUGUUAAUUAAAUUAAAUUUAAAAAAAAUUGAAAGUUCGAUUACUAAUAAAAUCUAUUGCGAUGAUGGGAUCUCGCAAUUUAGAAUUCGAAGAGGGAGAGGGAGAAGAUAUGGAAAGGGAAACAACAAUCCCUCGUUCUCUAUCUCCAUCCUCUUUGGGUUUCAAUGAUUUGAGGCUCAUCGUGGCAAUGAACCCAUUGCAAUGAUGGGUUCUUGCAAUUUAGAAUCCAAAGAAAGAGGAGGAGAAGACAGAGAAAAGAAAACAACAAUCCCUCGUUCUCUAUAUGCAUUUUUUUUGGGUUUCAACAAUUUGAAACUCAUCAUCGUGAUGAUGGGUUUCAUCGGUUAGAAUCCAUCACGAUAGUUUUGUCAAUGGAUUCUAUUGGUUACUCAUUUUCUAAAAACUCUUGAAAUUUAUUUUUUUAUUUUAAGUUUUAUUUAAUUUAAUUAUAACUCAUCACUAUUUGAACUUUAAAUUUAAUCUAUGGAAUAUUUAAUUUUUAUAAUUUAUAUAUAUAUAUUAAUUAUUUAAUUUAAAAUAAUACGUAAUUUAUACGUCCAGUGAAUUUAAAAAAAAAAAUAGAAGAAUAAAAAAAAAAAAUCAACUGAAUUAAUCAUUUCUUCAGCAUUUGACGAUCUCUAUCUUGACCGAUACCGAUAAUUUCUCUUUUACUUCGACUACCUACUCUAAAUAAGUGUAUCUAUAUGUACGUGCUAGAUUUUAUAUUUAUAAUAAAGAGGUGGGACAUCCCGACCUUAUAUUUGCAUUUAUAUCGGCACGUGCAAAUCGACCAUAAAGUGGGAACCCAAAACCCAACAACGUGGGACCCAAAGCCAUGCGAGAAGAAACCACCGGCUGUAAUUGGUGCCAUACAUAUAUAUAUAUAUAUAUUGGGAUUGGCAUAGAAAUCAGUAUCGCCAUGGUCCGGUCCCAUCAAUUUCAUCAAACAAACACAGAAUUCGGCAUCAAAAGCGUGCCGAUGUUUUUGGAUUUAUUGAAUUUGGAUAAAAACGAUUUUCUUGGUGAAAUUUUUAGGGGAAAAUAAUCAAUUUUGGCGGGCUAACAGACA